GAUCAACGCUGGCGGCGUGCCUAAUGCAUGCAAGUCGGGCGCGGACCCUUUCGGGGGUGCUGCGCGGCGGACGGGUGCGUAACACGUGGGCAACCUGCCCUGGGGUGGGGGAUAGCCGUGGGAAACCGCGGGUAAUUCCGCAUACGUUCGGGUCUCGACGGGGGAUCUCGAAGAAAGGGAGCAAUCCCGCCCGAGGAGGGGCCUGCGGCCGAUUAGCUUGUUGGUGAGGUAACGGCUUACCAAGGCGAUGAUCGGUAGCUGGUCUGAGAGGACGGCCAGCCACACGGGGACUGAGACACGGCCCCGACUCCUACGGGAGGCAGCAGCAAGGAAUCUUCCGCAAU
Molecule: ribosomal RNA, 344 nt
Filed under: uncultured bacterium
Lineage: Bacteria
Description: bacterial SSU rRNA
Rfam family: Bacterial small subunit ribosomal RNA
Source: RNAcentral